GCUUGGGUAGCUCAGCUGACAGAGCAUCAGACUUUUAAUCAGAGAGUCCAGGGUUCAAGUCCCUGCUUGAGUG
RNAcentral lists this transfer RNA (73 nucleotides) under Cuculus canorus (common cuckoo). It matches the Rfam family "tRNA". Rfam says of the family: Transfer RNA (tRNA) molecules are approximately 80 nucleotides in length. Their secondary structure includes four short double-helical elements and three loops (D, anti-codon, and T loops). Further hydrogen bonds mediate the characteristic L-shaped molecular structure. tRNAs have two regions of fundamental functional importance: the anti-codon, which is responsible for specific mRNA codon recognition, and the 3' end, to which the tRNAs corresponding amino acid is attached (by aminoacyl-tRNA synthetases). tRNAs cope with the degeneracy of the genetic code in two manners: having more than one tRNA (with a specific anti-codon) for a particular amino acid; and 'wobble' base-pairing, i.e. permitting non-standard base-pairing at the 3rd anti-codon position. Lineage: Eukaryota; Metazoa; Chordata; Aves; Cuculiformes; Cuculidae. The record is from Rfam by way of RNAcentral.